This 18-nucleotide unclassified non-coding RNA is filed under the name Mus musculus (house mouse). Its description in RNAcentral is "oocyte_clustered_small_RNA3388". Lineage: Eukaryota; Metazoa; Chordata; Mammalia; Rodentia; Muridae. The record is from RNAcentral.
UAUCCCGGUGCAAUGAGA